GAUGCGACCUCAGCUCAGGCGGGGCCACCCGCUGAGUUUAAGCAUAUCAAUAAGCGGAGU
This 60-nucleotide ribosomal RNA is filed under the name Gilbertiodendron klainei. RNAcentral's name for it is "partial 26S ribosomal RNA". Lineage: Eukaryota; Viridiplantae; Streptophyta; Magnoliopsida; Fabales; Fabaceae. The record is from RNAcentral.